RNAcentral lists this non-coding RNA (30 nucleotides) under Homo sapiens (human). Lineage: Eukaryota; Metazoa; Chordata; Mammalia; Primates; Hominidae. The record is from RNAcentral.
UGUGUCUUAAGUCCUGCAACUGCUCUAGUC